Molecule: long non-coding RNA, 459 nt
Filed under: Ananas comosus (pineapple)
Lineage: Eukaryota; Viridiplantae; Streptophyta; Magnoliopsida; Poales; Bromeliaceae
Description: long non-coding RNA (ACOM_LNC038157)
Source: RNAcentral
UCACUGGUUGUAACUGUAUGUAGAUUCAAAUUUUUUAUUUAUUUUGAUGCACUGUAAUUCAACUAUUGUAAUUGUAACUGCACGAAGAGUCUCGACUGCAAUAGCUAGAACUACAUCUAAAUUGGCCGUAACUCUAACUGCACGCUUAAAAAGAGUAGUUUUAAAUAUAGGUAACCUUACCUCUGUAAUAAUUAUUUAAACUUUUUUUCCCUUUCUUAUAUAAAGGGUAAUUUCACCACCCCACAUAUAAAAUGAUAAAAAUUCGUAAAUACACUUUUUAACUACAGGCAACCAAAAAAGAUAUUUACAGUUAUAGAGCUUUUUACUAUAACGAACAAAAUGAGAUGCAUGUAAUUAUAAUUAUUGUAUUUUUCAUUGCAUACAUCUUUAACUAUACUGUAUUUAUAAUUAUAUCGAACCAAAUAAUAUCUGACGUGAAACGAACAAUGCUCCUUGUAN